Long non-coding RNA from Esox lucius (northern pike), 1357 nucleotides. NCBI's taxonomy places the organism in Eukaryota, Metazoa, Chordata, Actinopteri, Esociformes, Esocidae. The record is from Ensembl.
CUGCACACUAACUAGCCCCUAUUAAUGUAUCACCAAACCUCCAGAUAUUUCUAGAUGUAGUUACCCUUUUAGUUUUUUUCCAUUACCACACUGACCCUGUCUCUGAGAAUGGCCCGGUUGUUGGGCUUUACUACAUCACAAGGUAGCACAGCUCUGAAAGUAUACGUGGAUUGAGCCUCUGGCAUCAAACAAGACUGAUCUAGUGGUUGAGGUUACGUCUAGCUCCCUAUCCUCAUCCCUUUGAACCCCCCCCCCCCCCAGCCCUUGCCGCCAAGCUAGGCUAACGGGGAGGUCUUGUUCUAGUGCCUCCGGGUCGACGCCUUGAUGUGCUCCUGUGUUUUCACCGCUGGGCAUAUCUGUGCCGGUGCGCCGCACAAUCGCGUGCAGACAGAAGCGUCGGCUACACUGCCUACGGACACGUGGCAGCCCUUCAGCAGCGGAGGCAGCAGCAGUCCACUCGGUGAUACGUUCAAAAGGACGUUAACGCAGCUUGCACACAGUUUCACCCCACAGAGCCUGUCACAAGGAAUUUGGUUUAAAACCACAUUUCACUAAAAGGAGCCUGUGACGCUUUUGUUUUUCCUGGCACUUUGGGCUGUUUCGCCUUGAGAUAGUGUUUAUUUUUAAUACGACUUUGAUCUGGUGCUGAAUCUGAUAUUUGGAAAGAAGAACUUGGUACCUAAGCACGGUGUCAGCCGGGCUAGGCUGAGGCGGAACCCCGCAUUAUGAGGGCCUUGGACGUGCGCUUAGGCUUUCAGUCUCUACCGAAGACAAGCCACUGGAAAGGUUCCCUUUGCAUAAUGCAUGUUGUUUUGAACAAGACGACGCAGAGCCACUUCGCUGCUAAAUAUGUAGAUGCUCGGUUUUGGCCACGGCUAGCGUUACAGUUUGGGUAUUAGCAUUAGUGUUGGCGUGACAACCGAACCUUUGGAAGACGACGUAGAAGUCAUAUUCCUCAGGUUUAAGAUACAAAACUAUCGGUGUUUUCCCGAAGGACCUUAAUGUCUGGAGGAGCCUGUCCUCUGCCUGACCUGCCAGAAGGAGUCGCUAGAGUACGAGAAGGCAAGACUUCCACCGACACUGGACAUGGCUGAGCCAACUGGCGGCUCCACGGGGGCUGUCGGAAUGCAUCAGAUUUUUAUGGGAUUUGGAACGUUACACACACUUUGUUUUACCUGCAUUAAGUACCAAGGCCUGCAUCUUACUCAGUUCAAUAUGUGCUGUGCUGCUGGUGGUUGUGUCAUUUAGCCGAGUCUAUCUUUGAAUAACGUUCCCACCGGCUACACAGUUCCUGGAUAUAAUUUGACUUGUCCACAUUGUCAGAAACCUAGCAAGGUCAAUAAAGAACUUUCCCGCA